Molecule: microRNA, 23 nt
Filed under: Drosophila mojavensis
Lineage: Eukaryota; Metazoa; Arthropoda; Insecta; Diptera; Drosophilidae
Description: Dmo-Novel-10_3p* (star (passenger))
Source: RNAcentral
UCACUACGUUUUAGCUCGUUAAC